Molecule: ribosomal RNA, 266 nt
Filed under: uncultured bacterium
Lineage: Bacteria
Description: partial 16S ribosomal RNA
Rfam family: Bacterial small subunit ribosomal RNA
Source: RNAcentral
UCCUACGGGGGGCAGCAGUAGGGAAUCUUCGGCAAUGGGCGAAAGCCUGACCGAGCAACGCCGCGUGAGUGAAGAAGGUCUUCGGAUUGUAAAACUCUGUUGUUAGGGAAGAACAAGGAUGAGAGUAACUUUUCAUGCCUUGACGGUAUCUAAACAGUAAGCCACGGCUAACUAUGUGCCAGCAGCCGCGGUAAUACGUAGGUGGCAAGCGUUAACCGGAUUUAUUCGGCGUAAAGCGAGCGCAGGCGGUUUCUUAAGUUUGAUGU